RNAcentral lists this small RNA (82 nucleotides) under Flavobacterium aquicola. RNAcentral describes it as "Flavo-1 RNA". It matches the Rfam family "Flavo-1 RNA". Lineage: Bacteria; Pseudomonadati; Bacteroidota; Flavobacteriia; Flavobacteriales; Flavobacteriaceae. The record is from RNAcentral.
ACUUAACUGCGUGAGGGAUGGAAACGGCAUCCUUUUGUGGCGGGGUUCGCCACAAAAGAUAUAGUGUACAGCCCGACCCUUG